This is a long non-coding RNA of Pygocentrus nattereri (red-bellied piranha), 529 nucleotides long. NCBI's taxonomy places the organism in Eukaryota, Metazoa, Chordata, Actinopteri, Characiformes, Serrasalmidae. The record is from Ensembl.
GUCAUCCUCAGAACGACCGGCUGAAACAGAGCUUUUCUCUUCAGAAGCGCGUCGUUACAACAAAAACAGCGCAAGCAGAUGGAACGAGCAAAAUGUGGUGCAGAGAGUGCUGUCCAGUGUUCUGUCCAGUGUUCACUCCAGAUUUAUGUCCAUCAUGGAGUUCCGAAAAAAAUUCUCAAUGCAGCCUGUUCAGCAUGAGCAAGAGGAGUUGAAGGAUAAGUCUCCACCUCAUCCAUUGGUGCCACUCGGCGCUCUGACUGGGGUCCUGACCAUACACAUACGAAGCUGCAGAGACUUCAUGAAAACCAGUAUCCUUAGAGUUUAUUCCAGUCUAUGUGUUGUCUGUGGGUUUGUGCUGAUUCUGUCUGCAUGGAUCAAUUGUGCUGGUUCUGGUUUGGCAGUUUUCCUGAGCCCUGCACCAGCUCAUAUACAGAAAGGCACUCUAUGUGUUGUGAGGAUCACUGUGGGGAGAAUGGUGAAGAGCUCCCUGCUGCUCCCUUCGAAGACAUCAUCGCUUUCAAUGAAGUGA